GAUGAACGCUGGCGGCGUGCCUAAUACAUGCAAGUCGAGCGAACAGACGAGGAGCUUGCUCCUCUGACGUUAGCGGCGGACGGGUGAGUAACACGUGGAUAACCUACCUAUAAGACUGGGAUAACUUCGGGAAACCGGAGCUAAUACCGGAUAACAUGAUGAACCGCAUGGUUCAACAGUGAAAGACGGUCUUGCUGUCACUUAUAGAUGGAUCCGCGCCGCAUUAGCUAGUUGGUAAGGUAACGGCUUACCAAGGCAACGAUGCGUAGCCGACCAGAGAGGGUGACAGGCCACACUGGAACAGAGACACGGUCCAGACUCCUACGGGAGGCAGCAGUAGGGAAUCUUCCGCAAUGGGCGAAAGCCUGACGCAGCAACGCCGCGUGGGUGAAGAAGGUCUUCGGAUCGUAAAGCUCUGUUAUUAGGGAAGAACAAAUGCGUAAGUAACUAUGCACGUCUUGACGGUACCUAAUCAGAAAGCCACGGCUAACUACGUG
Molecule: ribosomal RNA, 497 nt
Filed under: uncultured bacterium
Lineage: Bacteria
Description: partial 16S ribosomal RNA
Rfam family: Bacterial small subunit ribosomal RNA
Source: RNAcentral